GAUGAACGCUGGCGGCGUGCCUAAUACAUGCAAGUCGAGCGAACAGACGAGGAGCUUGCUCCUCUGACGUUAGCGGCGGACGGGUGAGUAACACGUGUAUAACCUACCUAUAAGACUGGUAUAACUUCGGGAAACCGGAGCUAAUACCGGAUAAUAUAUUGAACCGCAUGGUUCAAUAGUGAAAGACGGUUGUGCUGUCACUUAUAGAUGGAUCCGCGCCGCAUUAGCUAGUUGGUAAGGUAACGGCUUACCAAGGCAACGAUGCGUAGCCGAACUGAGAGGGUGAUAGGCCACACUGGAACUGAGACACGGUCCAGAGUACUACGGGAGGCAGCAGUAGGGAAUCUUACGCAAUGGGCGAAAGCUUGACGGAGCAACGCCGCGUGAGUGAUGAAGGUCUUCGGAUCGUAAAACUCUGUUAUUAGGGAAGAACAAAUGUGUAAGUAACUAUGCACGUAUUGACGGUAACUAAUAAGAAAGCCACGGCUAACUACGUG
RNAcentral lists this ribosomal RNA (497 nucleotides) under uncultured bacterium. RNAcentral describes it as "partial 16S ribosomal RNA". It matches the Rfam family "Bacterial small subunit ribosomal RNA", at positions 28 to 507 of the family's 1533-position model. The record is from RNAcentral.